This 69-nucleotide transfer RNA is filed under the name Porites lutea. RNAcentral describes it as "tRNA-Pro". Lineage: Eukaryota; Metazoa; Cnidaria; Anthozoa; Scleractinia; Poritidae. RNAcentral also lists the same sequence under 2 other names. The record is from RNAcentral.
AAAAAGAUAACUUUUAUCUUUGAGAGGGAAAUCAGAGGGGGGUUUUGAUUAGGGCCAUAAAUCUUUUUA